UUAUGGCUAUAUCAGGUUGAAACACCGGCUCUCGUACGAUCACCGAAGUUAAGCAAUGUCGAACCUGGUCAGUACCUAGAUGGGUGACCCUUUCGGAAUACCAGGUGCUAU
This 111-nucleotide ribosomal RNA is filed under the name Acanthosepion pharaonis. Lineage: Eukaryota; Metazoa; Mollusca; Cephalopoda; Sepiida; Sepiidae. The record is from RNAcentral.